This is a small nucleolar RNA of Equus asinus (donkey), 152 nucleotides long. The record is from Ensembl. Lineage: Eukaryota; Metazoa; Chordata; Mammalia; Perissodactyla; Equidae.
CCUCCUUUUCUUGGUGGAGAUUGGGCAUGAGGGCUGGUCCCUGUAAUGUACAGAGGCAGAGGGAAAGUGCUCCGGCUCCCUGCCACGGUGUCUUGUCUUCGGUGCUGGCGGUGUGCUGUCUGCCAGUUCUAUCCUCAAGCACCGGGACACGG